Non-coding RNA from Lolium perenne, 1944 nucleotides. Lineage: Eukaryota; Viridiplantae; Streptophyta; Magnoliopsida; Poales; Poaceae. The record is from RefSeq and is a predicted model, not a curated record.
CUAUUCUGAAACCAGUGCUCAAAAUAUUAUUUUGAGCACCACCUGUCUCUAUAAGGAAGCGACCGCGACCGAUCCAGAAGAAAAAAAAGAAAAUUUCAACCAGCCUCGUGACCGAGCGCAUCCGCCCCACACGCACGACCCCCAUCCCCACGAUACCCACCCCACUACCGCAUCCACUCUCGUCGCCGGCCAGCCCGGCCACCGCCGGCGAGCCGCUGCGCCGCCGGUAAGACCCCCGCCGCCGGUACGCCCCAACCUUCCGCCGUAGCCGCGUCCCAAGCUUCUGCGCCGCUGCUGGAGCACCAUGUACAGUCCAUCCUCCGACCUCGUCGCCGCCGGGAGGCGCCGCCGCCGAAACGCCCGAGCGCCCCGCUCUGAGGUCUGGCCGCCCCCAUAUCCUCCGCGCCGGGAGUCGUUGCCGCAAAAACACCCGCGCGCCCCCGCCCUGAGAUCCGCCCGCCCCCAUUACGAGGCCUGCGCGCCUCCGCCGAAAGGUCCUCGAGGUGCCCCGCCGCUGCAACUGGGUGCUAUCGCUGUUUGUGAGCCGCCCCGGCAACCGACGCGUUCCUCCCGCAGCUCGUCUUCACCGGUGACCCGCGCCGCCGAACCAAAUUGCAGGUCCAUGGAUCCUGUGCGGCCGCCUGUACUUUUUAAACUGCAGCGCCUGUAUUUCCUCUCUGCAAUGCCAAGAAGCGGGCGCGAGCAUGAGUUCUGGUGGCCAUACGUCCCUUCUCCUGCCUAUCUUUCUCCUGCCUAUCUUCUAUGCAGCUGGUGCGCCCAGCGUUACCCUGCUCUGGUCAGCCAUCUCUCCGGUGUUGCUCAAUUUUUCCUCUCUGCUCUCCCUCUAUCUCUCGGUACAAUUGUGCUAAUACAGGCAGUGCAUUUUAUUUGUUAAAACAAGUACAAGAGUGUUGACGCCCCAGGUUCGGUCGUGUUUGUGCCUUUGAUCGCGCGGAUGUUGGUCGUAUUUCGUGGACCUGCGUGGGAUGCUGGGCAGGAACUCCGUGAAGGUCACAUGUGAGCUCGUCAUGCAGGAGCUACGAAUCAAUUCAGUGAGCAAGCACUUCAGGCUGGAACUGUUGAACCGACUGAGAGAGAUCGUGAUCUUUGAUCCCCUGUCGCAUGAGCAACUGAAGAAGUUGGCUCGCCUGCAGAUUUUGUCGAGGCUGCGCAGCACUGGACAAACAGCUUCCAUUGGUGCUGCUCGGGCGCUGCCAGAGUGAGCCGCCGUGACACGCCCCGAUGUUCGUCGUCGUCAAUGUUGGGCGUGACCGGCCGGCGAUUGGGCGCGGCGGUGUUUCUACCCCUCCUCUAUUUUCUCUGUGUUGGAACGGGCAGCAAACUCCCGUCAUCUGGCCGUCGUCGUUCUCCAGCCGGCACAUUUCUUCCCGGCGGCGCGGUUCCCAGUCCAAGGACCCCAAGGACCUCCGUGGCUCACGUUCCCCGCCUCCACCAUGAUCUCUUGCUCGUCCAUCCAGAUAACGGCGUGACAGUGGUCGGAGCCAGCCCACCAGCUCCUGCACGUUGGCAGAUGCCCACGCGAAACCCCUCCUCCUAUGGCGCCUCAAUUCUAUUUUUUCUCUGGAGAUCUCUUCUCUGUUCUCUCUCUCAACAGCAGUACAACUAUGCUAAUAGAGGCAGCGCAAGUCUUGGUUAACAUAAGUACAAAGAUUGUGACGCACUGACGCCCCGUUUGAUCUUUCUUUUGGAUCCCAGCAUUACUUGUUCGGGCGCGCGGGUAAUUUUGUGGACGUCAGCAACCAGCAACUGGAUUUUCCUUCAUGAUUCAUUUGAGAAAAAGCGCACUUGCCAAUAAACCUCACCGGAAAACUUUAUUCAUGGUUGCUGCCUUUGGUGUGAUGCUGGCAGCUGUCGGGAGGGAUGAAUAGCCCUCUCAGCUUUUUUUUUGUUUAUUAAUGUUUGCAUCAUUUUUUUGUUUGGUAA